AACGAACGCUGGCGGCAUGCCUAACACAUGCAAGUCGAACGAGAACGUCGGGCUUAGGGGCGCACGGGUGCGUGAGGAGGGGGAACCUGCCCUUGGGUUCGGUAUAACUGACCGUAGGGGGUGUUAAUAAAGGAUAGUGUCUUAGGAGCAAGGAGUUAUCGCCGUAGGGUGGGCCCGCGUUGGAUUAGGCGGUUGGUAGGGUAAAAGCCUACCAAUGCGACGUUCCAUAGCUGGUCGGAUAGCAUGCUCUACCGAAAUGGGACUAAGACACGGCCCAAACUCCUACGAAACGCAGGAGUAUGGAAUAUUGGACAAUGAACGCAGACCUGAUCCAGCAGUGCCGCGUAAGUGGUGAAGGCCUUAGUGUUGUAAAUCUCUCUUACCCGGAGUGAUAAUGACGGUACCGGGAGAAUAAGCACCGGCUAACUACGUG
RNAcentral lists this ribosomal RNA (433 nucleotides) under uncultured bacterium. Its description in RNAcentral is "partial 16S ribosomal RNA". It matches the Rfam family "Bacterial small subunit ribosomal RNA", at positions 29 to 507 of the family's 1533-position model. The record is from RNAcentral.